This is a long non-coding RNA of Mastomys coucha (southern multimammate mouse), 586 nucleotides long. RefSeq lists it as uncharacterized. The record is from RefSeq and is a predicted model, not a curated record. NCBI's taxonomy places the organism in Eukaryota, Metazoa, Chordata, Mammalia, Rodentia, Muridae. The transcript has 3 exons.
GUAUCUCUGGCUUCUAAAGCCACAGGGAAGCAGAGAAACAAAAUGGACAGAAUGGACGGAAUUCCUACUCAUGCGUCACUCUUGUGAGUUUGUUUGUUCUCAACUGGGAGAAGACAGAAGAUGGCCUCCAUGACAACCAGUUAUCGCUGCCCCUGUGGAACAAACACAGACCUUGAAAGAGAUAUUGAUGAGCGUGCACACUGUCAGGAACACAAAAAUCGGAAGAUCCCACUGGGCACUGCUCCUCUCCACUGGAAGGCCACUGUUCCUCCAGAGAUACCAGCGUGAGCUUACCUCCGGGAACUCAGAAGAGUCCAUGGAGGAACACUGAUUACUGGCUUGCCCCUCACGGCUUGUUCAGCUUGUUUUCUUAUACCACCUAGGACCACCUGCCCAGGGGCAGCACCAUCCACAGUGAGCUGGGCCCUCCCAUAUAAAUCGUCAAUCAAGAAAAGGCCCUGCAACGUUUGUCCAAAGGCCAAUCUCAUGGAGGAAUUUUCUCAAAUAAGGUUCUCUCCUUUGAAAUGAUCUGAGCUUGUGUCAACAAUGAACUAACACACUGCACAAGUCUUAAAACUGUUAAUAA